UAAUAACUUUCUUUGUUGAAAUGCUAGUA
This 29-nucleotide non-coding RNA is filed under the name Mus musculus (house mouse). The record is from RNAcentral. Lineage: Eukaryota; Metazoa; Chordata; Mammalia; Rodentia; Muridae.